ACGCGUGAGUGCAUCCGCCGUGCAGUACAGCGCCUCCAAGUUCUGGGGGUUUGAUUGCUGCCGUGCCCUCUCGGGGACCAACCGCCUGCUUUGGUUACGUAGAGAGUCGGGCGCCUGCUCUGCUGCUGUCUUGCCUUGUUUUAUCUUGUGUUCCGAUCUGUUAGCUGUCCAAUCUUGUUCCUGCUGCUUGUCUCGCCUCGCCCCUGGGGGUUUUGGGUUUCACGCUAAGCCCCUUUUGGACUAUCAUUUCAUUCCAGCUUUCGCGGCUGGUCGGGGCGAUCCUCAGCUGCAUAUUGGGCAGGUGUUACAAAACUGGUACUGCCUCUCCCUUUUCUCUUAGUUGUGGAGAGCUGCGCGGGACUGAGUGGGGCUACGGACAAUCGGAACCAGCACCAGCUGUGGGCUGGCUCGCAGACGAACUGAGGAUCUACCAGCGGCCGUGGGACCUUAGGUGGCGGGUCGUUUUCCACACUUCCUUUGUUGUACAGCACCAGGUGAAUAGACUAUAGUAGGUUU
Oreochromis aureus is the source of this 516-nucleotide long non-coding RNA. RefSeq lists it as uncharacterized. NCBI's taxonomy places the organism in Eukaryota, Metazoa, Chordata, Actinopteri, Cichliformes, Cichlidae. The record is from RefSeq and is a predicted model, not a curated record. The transcript is spliced from 3 exons.